AACGAACGCUGGCGGCAUGCCUAACACAUGCAAGUCGAACGAGACCUUCGGGUCUAGUGGCGCACGGGUGCGUAACGCGUGGGAAUCUGCCCUUCGGUUCGGAACAACAGUUAGAAAUGACUGCUAAUACCGGAUAAUGACGUAAGUCCAAAGAUUUAUCGCCGAAGGAUGAGCCCGCGUAAGAUUAGGUAGUUGGUGGGGUAAUGGCCUACCAAGCCGACGAUCUUUAGCUGGUCUGAGAGGAUGAUCAGCCACACUGGGACUGAGACACGGCCCAGACUCCUACGGGAGGCAGCAGUGGGGAAUAUUGGACAAUGGGCGAAAGCCUGAUCCAGCAAUGCCGCGUGAGUGAUGAAGGCCUUAGGGUUGUAAAGCUCUUUUACCUAGGGAUGAUAAUGACAGUACCUGGAGAAUAAGCUCCGGCUAACUCCGUGU
Molecule: ribosomal RNA, 435 nt
Filed under: uncultured bacterium
Lineage: Bacteria
Description: bacterial SSU rRNA
Rfam family: Bacterial small subunit ribosomal RNA
Source: RNAcentral